This is a long non-coding RNA of Antechinus flavipes (yellow-footed antechinus), 272 nucleotides long. RefSeq lists it as uncharacterized. The transcript is spliced from 2 exons. NCBI's taxonomy places the organism in Eukaryota, Metazoa, Chordata, Mammalia, Dasyuromorphia, Dasyuridae. The record is from RefSeq and is a predicted model, not a curated record.
CUCAGUCAGUGGUGAACUCAGUGUUUGCCUUCCAAGGACCACCUAAUUUUUGAGAGAUUCAACACAAGCUUGAUCGCAGAGAGAAAAGAAGACUCCAAAGUUCUAUAUUCAUAGCUUGACCACUUUCCUACUUAAUAUCACUUCUACAAUGAAGAUUCCCUAAUGAGAGUCAUCUUAUUCAUCACAGCAAAACAGACAUCAGAGAAAGAAUACAUCGGAAAAUAUACAUACCAGAUGAUACAGAGUGAAGGAGCUCUCCCAUUGGGAAUCAG